This 497-nucleotide ribosomal RNA is filed under the name uncultured bacterium. Its description in RNAcentral is "partial 16S ribosomal RNA". It matches the Rfam family "Bacterial small subunit ribosomal RNA", at positions 28 to 507 of the family's 1533-position model. The record is from RNAcentral.
GAUGAACGCUGGCGGCGUGCCUAAUACAUGCAAGUCGAGCGAACAGACGAGGAGCUUGCUCCUCUGACGUUAGCGGCGGACGGGUGAGUAACACGUGGAUAACCUACCUAUAAGACUGGGAUAACUUCGGGAAACCGGAGCUAAUACCGGAUAAUAUAUUGAACCGCAUGGUUCAAUAGUGAAAGACGGUUUUGCUGUUACUUAUAGAUGGAUCCGCGCCGCAUUAGCUAGUUGGUAAGGUAACGGCUUACCAAGGCAACGAUGCGUAGCCGACCUGAGAGGGUGAUCGGCCACACUGGAACUGAGACACGGUCCAGACUCCUACGGGAGGCAGCAGUAGGGAAUCUUCCGCAAUGGGCGAAAGCCUGACGGAGCAACGCCGCGUGAGUGAUGAAGGUCUUCGGAUCGUAAAACUCUGUUAUUAGGGAAGAACAAAUGUGUAAGAAACUAUGCACGUCUUGACGGUACCUAAUCAGAAAGCCACGGCUAACUACGUG